Molecule: long non-coding RNA, 600 nt
Organism: Panthera uncia (snow leopard)
Lineage: Eukaryota; Metazoa; Chordata; Mammalia; Carnivora; Felidae
Exons: 3
Source: RefSeq, a predicted model, not a curated record
CACCAUUCAUCGAGCUCUCACACUCGCUGAUGUACAACGUGCUGUGUGUCCAGGCUGGAGUUCCUAUGUCAAUCAAGUGGACCCAGCCCUCAAGUGGAAGCUCAGAACAGGGAGGUGAUUCAUUCAAGUUUCCUCAGCUGGGACAUAAUGAAGAUGAAAUCAUACCCAGACCCCACCACCGCGCAGUCAACGCCAGAUGGCUCCUUCCAUUUCUCUGCACCAACUGUCUUGCCCGAUAUGUGUCACGUGCUCUGCUGGGAAGAUGGAUGAGACUCCAUGAGACCAUGAGUACUGAGCCUGGCACACAGUCAGCCCUGACAGAGUGUUGGUGUGGAAAAGAGAUGGAGAAAAGAAAGAAAGAAAGAAAGAGAAAAGAACAGACAGGACAAGACAAGGUGAGGGAGAGAGAAACAUGUCCAAAAUGGUUUGAGGCUCUUAAAGGGGUUUCACCUUCAUGGGCCUCAGUUUCUGUGCCAAAUGUGUUCAUUUAUUUAAAACAACUGCUUUUUCCGUAGCCCCUACCGUGUGCUCUGUAUCACUACACUAGCCCUCCAUCACUAACCCUUCAACCCUUCAACACGCUGAUCUAGCUGCCCCAAA